AGGACGAACGCUGGCGGCGUGCCUAACACAUGCAAGUCGAACGAGGUCCAACCGGUAGCAAUACCGGUGAAGACCAAGUGGCGAACGGGUGAGUAGCACGUGAGCAACCUGCCCCGAAGACCGGGACAACACCGGGAAACCGGUGCUAAUACCGGAUAUCCCCACCGAGUCGCAUGGCUUGGUGAGGAAAUGGAUUCCGCUUCGGGAGGGGCUCGCGGCCUAUCAGCUUGUUGGCGGGUAACGGCCCACCAAGGCGACGACGGGUA
RNAcentral lists this ribosomal RNA (266 nucleotides) under uncultured bacterium. RNAcentral's name for it is "partial small subunit ribosomal RNA". It matches the Rfam family "Bacterial small subunit ribosomal RNA", at positions 26 to 285 of the family's 1533-position model. The record is from RNAcentral.